Molecule: ribosomal RNA, 478 nt
Filed under: uncultured bacterium
Lineage: Bacteria
Description: partial 16S ribosomal RNA
Rfam family: Bacterial small subunit ribosomal RNA
Source: RNAcentral
AACAAACGCUGGCGGCGUGCCUAAUACAUGCAAGUCGAACGGGGAAAGCUUUCGGGUGAGUACUAGUGGCGCACGGGUGAGGAACGCGUGGAUAAUCUGCCUUAGAGUGGGGGAUAACUAGUCGAAAGAUUAGCUAAUACCGCAUAAGACCACAGGAACCGAGGUUCUAGAGGUCAAAGGUUUUUCGCUCUAAGAUGAGUCCGCGUAAGAUUAGCUAGUUGGUGAGGUAACGGCUCACCAAGGCGACGACCUUUAACUGGUCUGAGAGGAUGAUCAGUCACACUGGAACUGAGACACGGUCCAGACUCCUACGGGAGGCAGCAGUAGGGAAUAUUGCACAAUGGAGGAAACUCUGAUGCAGCGACGCCGCGUGAGUGAUGAAGGCCUUCGGGUCGUAAAGCUCUGUCGCAGGGGAAUAACACAAUGAAGGUACCCUGUAAGAAGGGAUCGGCUAACUUCGUGCCAGCCGCCGCCGUAA